Molecule: ribosomal RNA, 1500 nt
Filed under: Bacillota bacterium
Lineage: Bacteria; Bacillati; Bacillota
Description: bacterial SSU rRNA
Rfam family: Bacterial small subunit ribosomal RNA
Source: RNAcentral
AGAGUUUGAUCCUGGCUCAGGAUGAACGCUGGCGGCGUGCCUAAUACAUGCAAGUCGAUCGAGAUAGCUUGCUAUCUAGAGGCGAACGGGUGAGUAACACGUUGGUAAUCUACCUUUCAGCUGGGGAUACCCGAACGAAAGUUUGGCUAAUACCGUAAUACGUAAUAAGGUGAAAUUCCUUAUUAUGAAAGGCGCUUCGGCGCCACUGAUAGAUGAGCCUGCGUCUGAUUAGCUAGUUGGUGAGAUAAUAGCCCACCAAGGCGAGGAUCAGUAGCCGACCUGAGAGGGUGAACGGCCACAAUGGAACUGAGACACGGUCCAUACUCCUACGGGAGGCAGCAGUAGGGAGUCUUCGACAAUGGGGGAAACCCUGAUCGAGCAACGCCGCGUGUGUGAUGAAGGUCUUCGGAUUGUAAAACACUGUUGUUAGGGAUAAACGGUAGGUGUAGGUAAUGACAUCUAUUUGAUAGUACCUAAUUAGAAAGUAACGACUAACUUCGUGCCAGCAGUCGCGGUAAUACGAAGGUUACGAGCGUUAUCCGGAAUUAUUGGGCGUAAAGAGUGAGCAGGCGGUUUAUUAAGUUUGAAGUCAAAUCGAUGGGCUCAACCCAUCCUCGCUUCAAAAACUGAUAGACUAGAGUAUGUGAGAGGUAAGUAGAACUCCAUGUGUAGCGGUGAAAUGCGUAGAUAUAUGGAAGAAUACCAGUGGCGAAGGCGGCUUACCAGCACAAUACUGACGCUCAGUCACGAAAGCGUGGGUAGCAAAUAGGAUUAGAUACCCUAGUAGUCCACGCCGUAAACGAUGAUUACUAAAUGUCCCCAUUAGGGGGCGCUGAAGCUAACGCAUUAAGUAAUCCGCCUGGGAAGUACGAUCGCAAGAUUGAAACUUAAAGGAAUUGACGGGGUCCCGCACAAGCAGUGGAGCAUGUGGUUUAAUUCGACGCUACGCGAAGAACCUUACCAGGACUUGACAUAGAGCAUAAAGCUUAAGAAAUCAAGUCAUAAUACGCUCAUACAGGUGGUGCAUGGUUGUCGUCAGCUCGUGUCGUGAGAUGUUGGGUUAAGUCCCGCAACGAGCGCAACCCUUGUCCUUAGUUGCCAUCAUUAAGUUGGGAACUCUAGGGAGACUGCCGAUGUUAAAUCGGAGGAAGGUGGGGAUGACGUCAAAUCAUCAUGCCCUUUAUGUCCUGGGCGACACACGUGCUACAAUGGUCGGUACAAAGAGAUGCAAAACCGCGAGGUCAAGCCAAUCUCAUAAAGCCGAUCUCAGUACGGAUCGGAGUCUGCAACUCGACUCCGUGAAGCUGGAAUUGCUAGUAAUCGCAGAUCAGACAUGCUGCGGUGAAUACGUUCUCGGGGCUUGUACACACCGCCCGUCAAACCAUGAGAGCUGGUAAUACUUGAAGCCGUUAUCCUAACCGCAAGGAGGGAGACGUCUAAGGUAGGACUGGUGAUUGGGGUUAAGUCGUAACAAGGUAUCCCUACGGGAACGUGGGGAUG